UCUUACCUGUCCCUCUUUCUCUGCCUCGAAUGUUUCUUUCUCCAUCUCUGCCCCGCUCCCUGUCCCUUUUCUCUUAUUCUCUCUGUCUUCCAUCUUCCCCCUAACUUUUUGUCUAUAUCUCCAUACUGCUGCCUGUCUCGCUAUAUCCCCUGUCCUGCUCCCUGGCCUUUUUUCUCAUCCUGCAGUCCGUCACUGUUUUUUCUUUCUCCAUCUCUUUAUCCUGACUCGUCUCUCUCUCUUUUUUCCCCUCAAUUCCUCUGGCUUGUUCCCUAUCUUUUUCUCUCCCUCCUGCUUCUUUAUUCCUCUCAUUCAGUUUCUCUCCCUAUCCAUCUGUUCUGCUCCCAGCUCAUCAUUUUCUCUCUCUUUCCCUCUGUCCUACUCCUGUGCAUAGUGCGCAAGGCUACAUGUCUAGGAAGCUUCGUCUCAUAAGAGCUGUAAGACACCCACAUAUUCUCUUAGGUGGAGGACAGCCAGGCGACUGGAGUGAGAAGAGGAAGGGAGCAGAGCAGGAGGAAGAAGUGUCUGAACUGGCAAAUUCUCCUGGCACUGCCGAGAGCGAGAGUUGCGGGUCCUGCACCCUGCUCCUCAUUUUUGGUAGCCUCUGCCCAGCAUUCCAUUGCUCCAGGAGCUGACCAGCCGACUGUCCAUUCCCUGCCAGACCAACGAGCACGGCCCCAGGAAUGACUGCUGAGGUGUCCCAGGGGCAGGGGGAGUGUUGGAGGCUCCAAGUCCUGGAGCAGACUUGCUCCCAGGGCUUGUUACGUGUGUGACUGAAUAAACACUCGCCAUCUCCUUUGCCCAC
Molecule: long non-coding RNA, 802 nt
Organism: Aptenodytes forsteri (emperor penguin)
Lineage: Eukaryota; Metazoa; Chordata; Aves; Sphenisciformes; Spheniscidae
Exons: 2
Source: RefSeq, a predicted model, not a curated record